UGGGGAAUAUUGGUCAAUGGAGGCAACUCUGAACCAGCCAUGCCGCGUGGAGGAUGAAGGUCCUUUGGAUUGUAAACUUCUUUUAUUAGGGAAGAAACCCGAGUUUUCUAACUCGGUUGACGGUACCUAACGAAUAAGCACCGGCUAACUCCGUGCCAGCAGCCGCGGUAAUACGGAGGGUGCAAGCGUUAUCCGGAUUUACUGGGUUUAAAGGGUGCGUAGGUGGGUAGAUAAGUCAGUGGUGAAAUCC
Molecule: ribosomal RNA, 250 nt
Filed under: uncultured bacterium
Lineage: Bacteria
Description: partial 16S ribosomal RNA
Rfam family: Bacterial small subunit ribosomal RNA
Source: RNAcentral